This 254-nucleotide ribosomal RNA is filed under the name uncultured bacterium. RNAcentral describes it as "partial 16S ribosomal RNA". It matches the Rfam family "Bacterial small subunit ribosomal RNA", at positions 524 to 776 of the family's 1533-position model. The record is from RNAcentral.
UACAGAGGUCUCAAGCGUUGUUCGGAUUCAUUGGGCGUAAAGGGUGCGUAGGCGGCGCGGUAAGUCGGGUGUGAAAUCUCGGAGCUUAACUCCGAAACUGCAUUCGAUACUGCCGUGCUUGAGGACUGGAGAGGAGACUGGAAUUUGCGGUGUAGCGGUGAAAUGCGUAGAUAUCGUAAGGAAGACCAGUGGCGAAGGCGGGUCUCUGGACAGUUCCUGACGCUGAGGCACGAAGGCCAGGGGGAGCAAACGGG